Molecule: transfer RNA, 105 nt
Filed under: Colletotrichum incanum
Lineage: Eukaryota; Fungi; Ascomycota; Sordariomycetes; Glomerellales; Glomerellaceae
Rfam family: tRNA
About the family: Transfer RNA (tRNA) molecules are approximately 80 nucleotides in length. Their secondary structure includes four short double-helical elements and three loops (D, anti-codon, and T loops). Further hydrogen bonds mediate the characteristic L-shaped molecular structure. tRNAs have two regions of fundamental functional importance: the anti-codon, which is responsible for specific mRNA codon recognition, and the 3' end, to which the tRNAs corresponding amino acid is attached (by aminoacyl-tRNA synthetases). tRNAs cope with the degeneracy of the genetic code in two manners: having more than one tRNA (with a specific anti-codon) for a particular amino acid; and 'wobble' base-pairing, i.e. permitting non-standard base-pairing at the 3rd anti-codon position.
Source: Rfam by way of RNAcentral
GCGGACAUAGCUCAGUUGGGAGAGCGUCAGACUGAAGCGAACUAAGUUCUGUCAAACUUCGAUCACGUAAUCUGAAUGUCGUGUGUUCAAUCCACACUGGCCGCA